GGAGAAAGCAGGGGAUCGCAAGACCUUGCGCUUUUGGAGCGGCCGAUGCCUGAUUAGCUUGUUGGUGAGGUAAAAGCUCACCAAGGCUUCGAUCAGUAGCUGGUCUGAGAGGACGACCAGCCACACUGGGACUGAGACACGGCCCAGACUCCUACGGGAGGCAGCAGUGGGGAAUUUUGGACAAUGGGGGCAACCCUGAUCCAGCCAUGCCGCGUGAGUGAAGAAGGCCUUCGGGUUGUAAAGCUCUUUCAGCCGGAACGAAACGGUUACGGUUAAUACCCGUGACUACUGACGGUACCGGAAGAAGAAGCACCGGCUAACUACGUGCCAGCAGCCGCGGUAAUACGUAGGGUGCAAGCGUUAAUCGGAAUUACUGGGCGUAAAGCGUGCGCAGGUGGUUUUGUAAGUCAGAUGUGAAAUCCCCGGGCUUAACCUGGGAACUGCGUUUGAAACUACAAAGCUAG
Molecule: ribosomal RNA, 464 nt
Filed under: uncultured bacterium
Lineage: Bacteria
Description: bacterial SSU rRNA
Rfam family: Bacterial small subunit ribosomal RNA
Source: RNAcentral